CCCCNCUACNCNUAAACCNCCCCUNGGAGUACGCCNCNAGGUUNAACUCAANGAAUUGACGGGGGCCCGCACAAGGGUGGAGUNUNUGGUUNAUUUCGANCAACGCGAAGANCCUNCCAGGCCUUGACAUCCCUUGCAAAGCUGUAGAGAUACAGUAGAGGUNUCAAGGAGACAGGUGGUGCAUGGUUGUCGUCAGCUCGUGUCGUGAGAUGUUGGGUUAAGUCCCGCAACGAGCGCAACCCUUGCCUUCAGNUACCAGCAUUCAGUUGGGGACUCUGGAGGGACUGCCGGUGAUAAACCGGAGGAAGGUGGGGAUGACGUCAAAUCAUCAUGCCCCUUAUGGCCUGGGCUACACACGUACUACAAUGGCUGUUACAACGUGCAGCGACCUAGCGAUAGGAAGCGAAUCACUAAAAGACAGUCUCAGUUCGGAUUGAAGUCUGCAACUCGACUUCAUGAAGCUGGAAUCGCUAGUAAUCGCGGAUCAGAAUGCCGCGGUGAAUACGUUCUCGGGCCUUGUACACACCGCCCGUCAUACCAUGAGAGCUGGUAAUACCCGAAACCGGUGGCCUAACCGCAAGGAAGGAGCCGUCGAAGGUAGGACUAGUGAUUGGGGUCAAGUCGUANCAANGUANCCA
Molecule: ribosomal RNA, 638 nt
Filed under: uncultured bacterium
Lineage: Bacteria
Description: partial 16S ribosomal RNA
Rfam family: Bacterial small subunit ribosomal RNA
Source: RNAcentral